UGGGGAAUCUUGCACAAUGGGGGCAACCCUGAUGCAGCGACGCCGCGUGAGCGAUGAAGCCCUUCGGGGCGUAAAGCUCUUUCGACCGGAACGAUAAUGACGGUACCGGGAGAAGAAGCUGCGGCUAACUACGUGCCAGCAGCCGCGGUAAUACGUAGGCAGCAAGCGUUGUUCGGAGUUACUGGGCGUAAAGAGUGCGUAGGCGGUUUUCUAAGUUCGGUGUGAAAUCUCCCGGCUUAACUGGGAGGGUGCGCCGAAGACUGGGAAGCUGGAGUGUGGGAAAGGCAGUCGGAAUUCCUGGUGUAGCGGUGAAAUGCGUAGAUAUCAGGAGGAACGCCGGCGGUGUAGACGGCUUGCUAGACCAUAACUGACGCUGAGGCACGAAAGCGUGGGUAGCAAACA
Molecule: ribosomal RNA, 402 nt
Filed under: uncultured bacterium
Lineage: Bacteria
Description: bacterial SSU rRNA
Rfam family: Bacterial small subunit ribosomal RNA
Source: RNAcentral